RNAcentral lists this ribosomal RNA (1175 nucleotides) under Agromyces aurantiacus. Its description in RNAcentral is "bacterial SSU rRNA". It matches the Rfam family "Bacterial small subunit ribosomal RNA", at positions 115 to 1300 of the family's 1533-position model. Lineage: Bacteria; Bacillati; Actinomycetota; Actinomycetes; Micrococcales; Microbacteriaceae. The record is from RNAcentral.
ACGUGAGUAACCUGCCCUGGACUCUGGGAUAACCCCGAGAAAUCGGAGCUAAUACCGGAUAGGACCUUUCCCUGCAUGGGGUUUGGUGGAAAGUUUUUCGGUUUGGGAUGGACUCGCGGCCUAUCAGCUUGUUGGUGAGGUAAUGGCUCACCAAGGCGUCGACGGGUAGCCGGCCUGAGAGGGUGACCGGCCACACUGGGACUGAGACACGGCCCAGACUCCUACGGGAGGCAGCAGUGGGGAAUAUUGCACAAUGGGCGCAAGCCUGAUGCAGCAACGCCGCGUGCGGGAUGACGGCCUUCGGGUUGUAAACCGCUUUUAGUAAGGAAGAAGGGCUUCGGCUUGACGGUACUUGCAGAAAAAGGACCGGCUAACUACGUGCCAGCAGCCGCGGUAAUACGUAGGGUCCGAGCGUUGUCCGGAAUUAUUGGGCGUAAAGAGCUCGUAGGCGGUUUGUCGCGUCUGCUGUGAAAUCCCGAGGCUCAACCUCGGGCCUGCAGUGGGUACGGGCAGACUUGAGUGGUGUAGGGGAGACUGGAAUUCCUGGUGUAGCGGUGGAAUGCGCAGAUAUCAGGAGGAACACCGAUGGCGAAGGCAGGUCUCUGGGCACUUACUGACGCUGAGGAGCGAAAGCGUGGGGAGCGAACAGGAUUAGAUACCCUGGUAGUCCACGCCGUAAACGUUGGGCGCUAGAUGUGGGGACCUUUCCACGGUUUCCGUGUCGUAGCUAACGCAUUAAGCGCCCCGCCUGGGGAGUACGGCCGCAAGGCUAAAACUCAAAGGAAUUGACGGGGGCCCGCACAAGCGGCGGAGCAUGCGGAUUAAUUCGAUGCAACGCGAAGAACCUUACCAAGGCUUGACAUGACCGAGAACGCCCUAGAAAUAGGGAACUCUUUGGACACUCGGUUACAGGUGGUGCAUGGUUGUCGUCAGCUCGUGUCGUGAGAUGUUGGGUUAAGUCCCGCAACGAGCGCAACCCUCGUCGCAUGUUGCCAGCACGUUAUGGUGGGGACUCAUGUGAGACUGCCGGGGUCAACUCGGAGGAAGGUGGGGAUGACGUCAAAUCAUCAUGCCCCUUAUGUCUUGGGCUUCACGCAUGCUACAAUGGCCGGUACAAAGGGCUGCGAUGUCGUAAGGCGGAGCGAAUCCCAAAAAGCCGGUCUCAGUUCGGAUUG